GUGCAGCAGUCGCGAAAACUCCGCAAUACGCGAAAGCGUGACGGGGCUACCCCGAGUGUCGUCCGCUGAGGACGACUUUUCCACGCUGUAAGGAGGCGUGGGAAUAAGGAGAGGGCAAGUCUGGUGUCAGCCGCCGCGGUAAUACCAGCUCUCCGAGUGGUAGGGACGAUUAUUGGGCUUAAAGUGUCCGUAGCCGGCUCAGCAAGUCUCCCGUUAAAUCCAACGAUUCAAUCGUUGGACUGCGGGAGAUACUGCGAGGCUAGGGGGCGGGGGAGGCCGUCGGUACUCCUAGGGUAGGGGUGAAAUCCUAUAAUCCUAGGAGGACCACCAGUGGCGAAGGCGGCCGGCUAAAACGCGCCCGACGGUGAGGGACGAAAGCUGGGGGAGCGAACCGGAUUAGAUACCCCGGUAGUCC
Molecule: ribosomal RNA, 415 nt
Filed under: uncultured crenarchaeote
Lineage: Archaea; Thermoproteati; Thermoproteota
Description: partial 16S ribosomal RNA
Rfam family: Archaeal small subunit ribosomal RNA
Source: RNAcentral